RNAcentral lists this ribosomal RNA (314 nucleotides) under uncultured bacterium. RNAcentral describes it as "bacterial SSU rRNA". It matches the Rfam family "Bacterial small subunit ribosomal RNA", at positions 28 to 334 of the family's 1533-position model. The record is from RNAcentral.
GAUGAACGCUAGCGGCAGGCUUAACACAUGCAAGUCGAGGGGCAGCAUGAAGGUUAGCAAUAACCUUUGAUGGCGACCGGCGCAAGGGUGCGUAACGCGUGAGCAACUUGCCCGUUUCUGGGGAAUAACCGGUGGAAACGCCGACUAAUACCCCAUAGCAUCAGAUUGAGGCAUCUCAGUCUGAUUAAAGAAUUUCGGAAACGGAUAGGCUCGCGUGACAUUAGCUAGAUGGCGGGGUAACGGCCCACCAUGGCAACGAUGUCUAGGGGUUCUGAGAGGAAGGUCCCCCACACUGGAACUGAGACACGGUCCAG